This 28-nucleotide small RNA is filed under the name Bombyx mori (domestic silkworm). Its description in RNAcentral is "ovarian small RNA-15194". The record is from RNAcentral. Lineage: Eukaryota; Metazoa; Arthropoda; Insecta; Lepidoptera; Bombycidae.
GAACUAGGGAUGCCUACAAUAUUGCAGG